Long non-coding RNA from Syngnathus acus (greater pipefish), 1291 nucleotides. RefSeq lists it as uncharacterized. The record is from RefSeq and is a predicted model, not a curated record. Lineage: Eukaryota; Metazoa; Chordata; Actinopteri; Syngnathiformes; Syngnathidae. The transcript has 2 exons.
CAACGUGCUUUGUUUUCGGGAAAACUUCAAUAAUAAGCUAACGGACCAUCCUGCCAUAACAGGACACACCGCAGGGGGUGGCGAAGUGGGUGUAGUGAUUUGCAUGUCCGCCUCAUGCUGUCAGGUUCAGAGUUUGAAUCUGGGAUGCCGGCUUCGUUAAAUUAUCCAUACAUAGGAAUCUAAGUCUAAAUUCCUGAUUUUUUUUUUUUUUUUAAUAUUUGAUGUUGCACUUUCCACCCCGAAUAACACGCCUGGUAAGAGCGCUGUGCAAAAUUAAAAUAUUAAUUCACACUUUGGAAGAUGUGAGUGUCCCUGACGCAGAGUGGUGUUGUUAUUAGCGUCUGGGGGUAGGGCGUAGCCUCCCGCAGUCGUGCAAAUGCACAAUAACAAGGCAGUCGACUCAUGGCCGCUCCACACCGAACAUCUGGAGGUGUGCGACACCACCAAAGUUUUUUGUGCCUGCUUAAAAGUCGGGACAAUCAGGGCCAACAAGCUACUUCAAGUCAAAUGAUUGCUCCAUGAAAUUUGCAUGGGACUAUUUUUGUUUCAUCCAAUACGAUUUCUGCUUCUAUAUGUUGCUGUGACAAUUUCAUCGGCCCAGUGUAUUAGAAAUGGGACAGUUUGAGCCAAAUCAGCCUUCGUGGUCAAAAGUUGUGAUUUUGGAGAUGAAACGGUUUGGACAGACAAGAACAGUAUUAGUAUUGACUGUUUUCCAGUUUUGCUGGUUUCUAGUUGUGACAUGGUAAUUGAAAGUGGAUCAUAUCUCAGGUACCAAACACACUUUAAGCUUAACCAGUUAUAUCGCAGACUUUUUCUUUUUUUGUUUAGCUGACAUUAUAACAAAGUCUCCUGGAACGUUGAUAUAACUGUUCCCAAAUGCUGAAUUAACUCUUUUUUCCCCCUCCUCUCUGUGGAGUCUGGAAGCGUUCCUGCGCAACAUGGUGUGAACUGCCUUUCCCACAAGUUCUAACGUCAAACAGACGUGAGCCAACCUCGUAGCGAUCGUUCACAUCGGCCGACGAGCGGCGGGAGGAGGAAAAAGGAGGCUCAUCGCAUUCAUGACGCUCAAAGAAUGUCCUCGCGCAGAUGUUUUUCUACUCGACCUUUAGGACGACCUGGAGCUGCGCAACGGCCGCCCAUAUGUGCCGAGACUUUCCACUGCUGUGAUUUCAUACGGAAGAGUGGACUGCGGAUGUUGCAACAGGCCCGCCUCACCAUCGCGCUCAAAUUUCUCGCACCUUGUACUGGUUGAUUUCCUCCUGCAGGAUCUCAUCAGCGUCGGAGUACACCU